Molecule: long non-coding RNA, 636 nt
Filed under: Vigna radiata
Lineage: Eukaryota; Viridiplantae; Streptophyta; Magnoliopsida; Fabales; Fabaceae
Description: long non-coding RNA (VRAD_LNC009483)
Source: RNAcentral
CCUUUGUGGAGACUUGCUCUCACUAUGGAAGAAGAUAAAUGAAAUUGAAGAGAAAGGAACUUAUGUUGCUAUUAUGGGUGAGUUUUACUACCGUUAGUGACAUAUGUUGUUGUUGGUGAGGUGGCCACUAAGGAAUGUUGUUGGAGUCGCUCGAAGUGGGAGGGAAGGGAAGGAGGGUUAUCGAAGUGGGAAGGGAAGAAGUGUGAGGGAAGGGAAGUCUCUCAAUGGUUUAUCACGAGAAAUGGGAGAAAAGGAAAGAAGAGUUUUUUGAAGUAGGGAAAGAAGAAGUGUGAGGGAAUGGAAGUCUCUUAAUGGUCUAUCAUAAGAAAUGAGAGGAAAGGAAAGAAGAGUUUUUCGAAGUGGGAAGAGAAGAAGUGCGAGGCUCCAUAGUUUCUCUUUAUGGUAGUGAAGUGAAUAAAGAAAGGGAUACACAAAUUAUACAUAGCAAGAAAACAGGCUGACAGAUUGGUACGGGGUGACCUGUUUUUUGGCUUGGUAGGCUGGCGGGUCAGGCGGGUCAGGCGAGUCAGGUUGUAGUGGGCUUACAAGUUCAAAUUGAUACAAUCCAGGAAAGAGUACAAUUGCUUAUGAAUUUGAAUCCUCUAGAGACACAAAAAAAUAAUAAUUCAAAGAACU